GAUGAACGCUGGCGGCGUGCCUAAUACAUGCAAGUCGAGCGAACAGACGAGGAGCUUGCUCCUCUGACGUUAGCGGCGGACGGGUGAGUAACACGUGGAUAACCUACCUAUAAGACUGGGAUAACUUCGGGAAACCGGAGCUAAUACCGGAUAAUAUAUUGAACCUCAUGGUUCAAUAGUGAAAGACGGUUUUGCUGUCACUUAUAGAUGGAUCCGCGCCGCAUUAGCUAGUUGGUAAGGUAACGGCUUACCAAGGCAACGAUGCGUAGCCGACCUGAGAGGGUGAUCGGCCACACUGGAACUGAGACACGGUCCAGACUCCUAAGGGAGGCAGCAGUAGGGAAUCUUCCGCAAUGGGCGAAAGCCUGACGGAGCAACGCCGCGUGAGUGAUGAAGGUCUUCGGAUCGUAAAACUCUGUUAUUAGGGAAGAACAAAUGUGUAAGUAACUAUGCACGUCUUGACGGUACCUAAUCAGAAAGCCACGGCUAACUACGUG
Molecule: ribosomal RNA, 497 nt
Filed under: uncultured bacterium
Lineage: Bacteria
Description: partial 16S ribosomal RNA
Rfam family: Bacterial small subunit ribosomal RNA
Source: RNAcentral